This 809-nucleotide ribosomal RNA is filed under the name uncultured Arcicella sp. RNAcentral's name for it is "bacterial SSU rRNA". It matches the Rfam family "Bacterial small subunit ribosomal RNA", at positions 42 to 864 of the family's 1533-position model. The record is from RNAcentral. Lineage: Bacteria; Pseudomonadati; Bacteroidota; Cytophagia; Cytophagales; Flectobacillaceae.
GCAGGCCUAAUACAUGCAAGGCGGGCGGUGUCUUCGGACAUAGUGGCGCACGGGUGCGUAACACGUAUGCAACCUACCUUACAUUGGGGGAUAGCCUUUCGAAAGGGAGAUUAAUACCGCAUAAGACAGUAGCUGGGCAUCCAGCAGCUGUUAAAGAUUUAUCGAUGUAAGAUGGGCAUGCGUCCAAUUAGUUAGUUGGCGAGGUAACGGCUCACCAAGACUUUGAUUGGUAGGGGAACUGAGAGGUCAAUCCCCCACACUGGCACUGAGAUACGGGCCAGACUCCUACGGGAGGCAGCAGUAGGGAAUAUUGGGCAAUGGACGCAAGUCUGACCCAGCCAUGCCGCGUGCAGGAUGAAGGCGUUAUGCGUUGUAAACUGCUUUUAUACAGGAAGAAACGACUCUUGCGAGAGGCAUUGACGGUACUGUAUGAAUAAGCACCGGCUAACUCCGUGCCAGCAGCCGCGGUAAUACGGAGGGUGCAAGCGUUGUCCGGAUUUAUUGGGUUUAAAGGGUGCGCAGGUGGUUUAUUAAGUCAGUGGUGAAAGACGGUCGCUCAACGAUUGCAGUGCCAUUGAAACUGGUAGACUUGAGUAAAGUAGAGGUGGGCGGAAUUGAUAGUGUAGCGGUGAAAUGCAUAGAUAUUAUCAAGAACUCCAAUUGCGUAGGCAGCUCACUUGGCUUUUACUGACACUCAUGCACGAAAGUGUGGGUAUCAAACAGGAUUAGAUACCCUGGUAGUCCACACUGUAAACGAUGAUAACUAGGUGUCGGCCGAAUCUGGUCGGUGCCACAGCGAAAGCGUUAAG